UAGUACACUGAUGUAGUUUGAAAAUUAAAAACUAAUCUCAAUGGUACUAUCUCAACACACCUUAUUGCUAUUUGUCCGCCAUUACUGGAUAUCACACGGGUUCCCGUAAAAUUUUGACGUCAUGAAACAAAAUAUCUGACGCCACAAUGGAAAAGUGAUUGUUAUAUGCGUCAAAAGUUCAAGCGGCCAGGUCAGCUGGGAUUAGCGAUAAGGUGUAAGAAAAAAAUCAUUUUUUAACAACUUUUUUAUAUUAUGACGCAUCUAUAUUAUUGUAUAAUAUUUGUUACUUAUUGUAUUUUUCUCGUGUUAUAUGAUAUUGAACAUUUUUGGCUGUGAUGUUUUUAUUUAUUCUCAAUAUAUUCUCCACUGAGAUUGUUUAAUUUCUUAAAUGUGAAACUUGUCCUGUUGAAUGUCUUGAAAACAUGAUAUUUGCAAUCUUGAUUUACCUGUGAUCCUUUUUCAGAUUUUCUAAAAAAAUAUCAUUGAUAGUUCUUUCAAAGCAAAAAAAUAUUAUUUUCCUAUAAAACAUGAGUACUUUAAUCUUAAUAUAAAUAUGAGUUAUUUCCCUUUGAGUGCAAUAGCCCUGUUUCUCUUAAAUAAUUGAUUAUAAAUUCAAAUUAUUCCUGAUGGAAUUAGUAUGUUAUAUGUUAUAUUUGGUUUUCAUAAAACCAACCUGGUUUUUUUAGGCAGGAAUGUAUGUUAAGCAUAAAAGAUAAUUCAUACUGUAUAAUAUACAUGUACUACCAUUUUUAACUAUGUAUUGUAAUGUUGUUAAGAUAUUGUUAUUUAAUUUGUAAAUAUGUCUUAUAAUAAUGAAAACAUAUACAUCAAAUGAUAAAUUUAUGUGAAAAGUAUAUGCUAUCGAGUAUUGACAUAUAUGAGCUGUGUUGGAUAAAAAUGACCCUUAUGUCAAAAAAUAUCUGCUAUUAUCAAUGCAUCCAUUAACUUAUUUCAGGUUGAACAAAUCUUUAUGCCAAGUAUGUCACUAUUUAGAAAUUGAAUUGAUAUAUUAUCAUUGUCGGAUCCAGGGGGUGGGUUCCGGGGAUUGAAACCCCCCUUUUUUUUGGCCGAUCAAUGCAUUUGAAUGGGAGCAUUUAGCUGGAACCCCCCUUUACUCUGGGUUGGGAACCCCCCCCCCCCCCCCCCUUUUAAAAUGACUGGAUCCGCCCCUGCUCAAUACUAAACGAAAUUCAUCUUUUGUAUGGUAUUUGAAUGUUCCUAAACCAAUCAAAAUCUUAUACAUGUACAUGUAAACAUGCACUUGUAUAAUAUCAACUUCUAUAUGACACAGGUCACAUGUUUAGUGAGGGGCUUUUAGUGAGUGGACAAAGUAGUCUAACUAAUGUAUCACUAGCUUGUCACACUGAGGUGGUCAGUUGUAAUGUCACAUGUUUAGUGAGGGGCUUUUAGUGAGGGGUCAAAGUAGUCUAACUACUGUAUCACUAGCUUGUCACACUGAGGUUGUCAUUUCUAAUGUCACAUGUAACUAAUGUAUCACUAGCCUGUCACACUGAGGUUGUCAGUUCCAAUGUCACAUGUGGCAGCUGAGAUCAACUUAAUUCUUUAAAUAAUUGACAAGGAUUGUCAAGGUCAACAGUUUUUACCUUACAAUUUGGCUUCCUACACUAAUAAAAAAUGCCCACCUAAAAAUUGCACAUGUGCUUAAAAAGGCAUUAAACACCACAAUCAAUGAAUGGUAAAAUGCAUAAGUGGGGAUCAAUUUUAAUCUUUUCAUUAUGUCGAUGGAAAGAGAGUGUUAAAUUGUAUUCAGCAAAUUACUGUGGAUUCAUUAUUAUUUGCUGGAUACCAAUUAUCGUGGGUACAGGUGAAACACAAAUUUAAUGUCAAGGAAAUACAAAUUUCUAUAAAAGUUGAUCAAGACUUUGGAAGAACCCUGAAAUUGCAUAUCCACGAAAAUGCAAGAUUUCCACAAUCCACAGAAAUUGGUACCCACAAAAAUAAAUGAAUCCAUAGAAUUUUGUUUUGUGCAAAGCAAUAAAGAUACAGAAAAAUGGGUAUGAGACAUGUAGAAAAAGAAUAUAGCCUUAGAACCAACAUAAUACAAAGUGGAAUUUUAUGUUGUUAUUUUGUAAAGGAGUAGGUCCGGUAAGACCCCUUUUUGUCCCCAAAAUAUAGCAGUUUUACAAAAUUGUUAAAAUGUAAACUUUUAAAUAUACAGGGGACAGUAGAAUGCUUCUGCUACAUAAAUAUUGGUUGUUUUUGGCAAUACAAUGCACAUAUAUAUCGAGUACUAGCACCAUUAAGUCACGCUAAAUUACUGAAAUCUUCACAAUUCUAUCAUGUUGGCUAAAUUUUAGACGGUUUUCGUGUUCAUCCUUAAUAUUGAAAUGUAAGUUGUAUUUUAUGAUAAUACAUAACAUAUAUAAAGAUUUUGGAUGAACACGGAUGCGGCCACUUUCAUUUUUGACAAAAACUAUCUAAAAAUGACAUUUUUCGACAUAUUUGGUAGAUUUUUCAUAUUUGAGCUUGAAUCGGAUCGUUUUCAAUGACUAAAUCAGUUAAAAUCUUUCACAUAAACUAAUUGAUUCAAAUGAAAUAGACACUUAAGUGUUUAAAAAGAGGUCAAAUUCAUUCGUCAAAUGAACUUGAAAUUUGAGGCCAAAAUUGAUCCUUACCGGACCUACUCCUUUCCAUUUAUAAUGAGAUUCAUUGUUACUCUAAAUAUAUUGUUUGUUAAUUGUUAUUAUAUGUUAUGUUGUAAUUGGUGCUACAAAAAAUGUUUAGAAUAAAUAAAUAUAUGUAUAUUGUUACAAUAUUUUUUUUGAAGUAGCAAACUAAUAUCAGUGUUUUCCCCAGAAUUUUCUAAAUAGCUCCAUGAAAACAAACAUAGCACUUGUUUUCCAAAACAAUAUAGCACCAUGGCCCCUAUACAUUCUAUUAUAAAAUUAUCAAAGAAAGCAACAAGGUAUCAUGGUGCUUUAAUGCCAAGGGGAGAACACUGAAUAUAUAUCCUUUCAGUGGAGAAUCCAGAAAUUGUCAUAAAUGGGGCCCACUCCAGUCAUACUCCAGUGAUCUCUAUAUUAUCAACAAAAUCGUCCCAAAAAAAGGGCCC
This 3073-nucleotide long non-coding RNA is filed under the name Mytilus galloprovincialis (Mediterranean mussel). The record is from RNAcentral. Lineage: Eukaryota; Metazoa; Mollusca; Bivalvia; Mytilida; Mytilidae.